CAUAGCCGCGGUAAUACAGAGGGUGCGAGCGUUAAUCGGAUUUACUGGGCGUAAAGCGUGCGUAGGCGGCUUCUUAAGUCGGAUGUGAAAUCCCUGAGCUUAACUUAGGAAUUGCAUUCGAUACUGGGAAGCUAGAGUAUGGGAGAGGAUGGUAGAAUUCCAGGUGUAGCGGUGAAAUGCGUAGAGAUCUGGAGGAAUACCGAUGGCGAAGGCAGCCAUCUGGCCUAAUACUGACGCUGAGGUACGAAAGCAUGGGGAGCAAACAGGAUUAGAUACCCCGGUAGUCCCUGUCUCUUAUACA
This 301-nucleotide ribosomal RNA is filed under the name uncultured bacterium. RNAcentral's name for it is "partial 16S ribosomal RNA". It matches the Rfam family "Bacterial small subunit ribosomal RNA", at positions 512 to 808 of the family's 1533-position model. The record is from RNAcentral.